Molecule: ribosomal RNA, 451 nt
Filed under: uncultured bacterium
Lineage: Bacteria
Description: partial 16S ribosomal RNA
Rfam family: Bacterial small subunit ribosomal RNA
Source: RNAcentral
AACGAACGCUGGCGGCAGGCUUGACACAUGCAAGUCGAACGGUUGUAGCAAUACAUCAGUGGCAGACGGGUGAGUAACACGUGGGAACCUUCCUAGGGGUACGGAACAACUCAGGGAAACUUGAGCUAAUACCGUAUACGUCCGUGAGGAGAAAGAUUUAUCGCCCUUAGACGGGCCCGCGUCGGAUUAGCUAGUUGGUGGGGUAACGGCCUACCAAGGCGACGAUCCGUAGCUGAUCUUAGAGGAUGAUCAGCCACACUGGGACUGAGACACGGCCCAGACUCCUACGGGAGGCAGCAGUGGGGAAUCUUGGACAAUGGGCGCAAGCCUGAUCCAGCCAUGCCGCGUGAGUGAAGAAGGUCUUCGGAUUGUAAAGCUCAUUUGCCAGGGACGAUAAUGACGGUACCUGGAGAAUAAGCCCCGGCAAACUUCGUGCCAGCCGCCGCGGUAA